Molecule: ribosomal RNA, 400 nt
Filed under: uncultured bacterium
Lineage: Bacteria
Description: bacterial SSU rRNA
Rfam family: Bacterial small subunit ribosomal RNA
Source: RNAcentral
GGGGAAUAUUGGACAAUGGGCGCAAGCCUGAUCCAGCGAUGCCGCGUGUGUGAAGAAGGUCUUCGGAUUGUAAAGCACUUUUGGCAGGGACGAUGAUGACGGUACCUGCAGAAUAAGCCCCGGCUAACUUCGUGCCAGCAGCCGCGGUAAUACGAAGGGGGCUAGCGUUGCUCGGAAUGACUGGGCGUAAAGGGCGCGUAGGCGGCUUGCACAGUCAGAUGUGAAAUUCCUGGGCUCAACCUGGGGACUGCAUUUGAUACGUGUGGGCUUGAGUGGAGAAGAGGGUCGUGGAAUUUCCAGUGUAGAGGUGAAAUUCGUAGAUAUUGGAAAGAACACCGGUGGCGAAGGCGGCGACCUGGUCUUUAACUGACGCUGAGGCGCGAAAGCGUGGGGAGCAAAC